GACGAACGCUGGCGGCGUGCUUAACACAUGCAAGUCGAACGGUGAAGCGCUUGCCUUUUUGGUGGGUGUGGAUGAGUGGCGAACGGGUGAGUAACACGUGAGUAACCUGCCCUCUUCUUCUGGAUAACCUCAUGAAAGUGGGGCUAAUACGGGGUAUUCCGGGUCUGUCGCAUGGCGGGUUUGGGAAAGAUUGCGCCUUUGGGUGUUUUCGGUGGGGGAUGGGCUCGCGGCCUAUCAGCUUGUUGGUGGGGUGAUGGCCUACCAAGGCGGUGACGGGUAGCCGGCCUGAGAGGGUGGACGGCCACACUGGGACUGAGACACGGCCCAGACUCCUGCGGGAGGCAGCAGUGGGGAAGAUUGCACAAUGGGCGCAAGCCUGAUGCAGCGACGCCGCGUGAGGGAUGGAGGCCUUCGGGUUGUGAACCUCUUUCGCCAGUGAAGCAGGCCUGCUCCUGUGUGGGUGGGUUGACGGUAGCUGGAUAAGAAGCGCCGGCUAACUACGUG
RNAcentral lists this ribosomal RNA (504 nucleotides) under uncultured bacterium. RNAcentral's name for it is "partial 16S ribosomal RNA". It matches the Rfam family "Bacterial small subunit ribosomal RNA", at positions 28 to 507 of the family's 1533-position model. The record is from RNAcentral.